AUCAAUGGGAUAACAUUCUGUAAAAAAAAAAAUUGAAAAAUUAAGUCACGGAAGAAAACAUGGCAUGUUUAAGAUCUUUGGGGAGCGAAGGAUGCAUAUUUUCUUUGCCUUACUUUGGCUGCCUACAGGC
This 130-nucleotide small nucleolar RNA is filed under the name Nannospalax galili (Upper Galilee mountains blind mole rat). Its description in RNAcentral is "Small nucleolar RNA SNORA67 (ENSNGAG00000006818.1)". It matches the Rfam family "Small nucleolar RNA SNORA67". Rfam says of the family: U67 belongs to the H/ACA class of snoRNAs which are thought to guide the sites of modification of uridines to pseudouridines. The record is from Rfam by way of RNAcentral. Lineage: Eukaryota; Metazoa; Chordata; Mammalia; Rodentia; Spalacidae.